RNAcentral lists this ribosomal RNA (943 nucleotides) under Mariorajchenbergia sp. Its description in RNAcentral is "partial large subunit ribosomal RNA". It matches the Rfam family "Eukaryotic large subunit ribosomal RNA", at positions 31 to 962 of the family's 3401-position model. Lineage: Eukaryota; Fungi; Basidiomycota; Agaricomycetes; Polyporales; Polyporaceae. The record is from RNAcentral.
AACUUAAGCAUAUCAAUAAGCGGAGGAAAAGAAACUAACAAGGAUUCCCCUAGUAACUGCGAGUGAAGCGGGAAAAGCUCAAAUUUAAAAUCUGGCGGUAUUGGCCGUCCGAGUUGUAGUCUGGAGAAGUGCUUUCCGUGCUGGACCGUGUACAAGUCUCUUGGAACAGAGCGUCAUAGAGGGUGAGAAUCCCGUCUUUGACACGGACUACCAGUGCUUUGUGAUGCGCUCUCAAAGAGUCGAGUUGUUUGGGAAUGCAGCUCAAAAUGGGUGGUAAAUUCCAUCUAAAGCUAAAUAUUGGCGAGAGACCGAUAGCGAACAAGUACCGUGAGGGAAAGAUGAAAAGCACUUUGGAAAGAGAGUUAAACAGUACGUGAAAUUGCUGAAAGGGAAACGCUUGAAGUCAGUCGCGUUGUUCAGAACUCAGCCUUGCUUCUGCUUGGUGCACUUUCUGAAUGACGGGCCAGCAUCAAUUUUGAUUGUCGGAUAAGGAUUGGGGGAAUGUGACACCUUCGGGUGUGUUAUAGCCUUCAGUCGCAUACGGCGGUUGGGAUUGAGGUACGCAGCGCGCCGCAAGGCAGGGGUUCGCCCACUUUCGCGCUUAGGAUGCUGGCAUAAUGGCUUUAAACGACCCGUCUUGAAACACGGACCAAGGAGUCUAACAUACCUGCGAGUGUUUGGGUGGAAAACCCGAGCGCGUAAUGAAAGUAAAAGUUGAGACCUCUGUCGUGGAGGGCAUUGACGCCCGGACCUGACGUUCUCUGACGGCUCCGCGGUAGAGCAUGUAUGUUGGGACCCGAAAGAUGGUGAACUAUGCCUGAAUAGGGUGAAGCCAGAGGAAACUCUGGUGGAGGCUCGUAGCGAUUCUGACGUGCAAAUCGAUCGUCAAAUUUGGGUAUAGGGGCGAAAGACUAAUCGAACCAUCUAGUAGCUGGUUCCUGCC